Molecule: ribosomal RNA, 388 nt
Filed under: uncultured bacterium
Lineage: Bacteria
Description: bacterial SSU rRNA
Rfam family: Bacterial small subunit ribosomal RNA
Source: RNAcentral
GACGAACGCUGGCGGCGUGCUUAACACAUGCAAGUCGAACGAGGCUCCUUCUUCGGUUGGGGUUCUAGUGGCGAACGGGUGAGUAACACGUGGGCAACCUGCCCCUGGCUCUGGGAUAACUCCAAGAAAUUGGGGCUAAUACCGGAUAUGACCGCUGAUCGCAUGGUCUGGUGGUGGAAAGAUUUAUCGGCUGGGGAUGGGCCCGCGGCCUAUCAGCUUGUUGGUGGGGUAGUGGCCUACCAAGGCGACGACGGGUAGCCGGCCUGAGAGGGUGACCGGCCACACUGGGACUGAGACACGGCCCAGACUCCUACGGGAGGCAGCAGUGGGGAAUAUUGCGCAAUGGGCGAAAGCCUGACGCAGCGACGCCGCGUGGGGAUGACGGCCU